CGAUACGGGCUGACUUGAGGGCGUGAGAGGCGAGUAGAACUCCCGGUGGACCAGUGAAAUGGGUAGAGAUCGGGAAGAAUACCAGUGGUGCAGACGGCUCGCUGGCGCGUACCUGACGCUGAGACACGAAAGCUUGGGGAGCAAACAGGAUUAGAUACCCUGGUAGUCCAAGCUGUAAACGAUGUCCACUAGGUGUGCGGGGUAUCGACCCCCUGCGUGCCGGAGCUAACGCACGAAGUGGACCGCCUGGGGAGUACGGCCGCAAGGUUAAAACUCAAAGGAAUUGACGGGGACCCGCACAAGCAGCGGAGCGUGUGGUUUAAUUCGAUGCGACGCGAAGAACCUUACCUGGGUUCAAUUCUGUUUGCACCACCCGUUAUGGGGUGUGCCCGCAAGGGACAGACAGAACGGUGCUGCAUGGCUGUCGUCAGCUCGUGCCGUGAGGUGUUGGGUUAAGUCCCCUAACGAGCGCAACCCCUGGCGUCGGUUAUACCUCCGACGCAACUGCCGCGCACAACGCGGAGGAAGGUGGGGAUGACGUCAAGUCAGCACGGCCCUUACGCCCAGGGCGACACACACGCUACAAUGGUCAGGACAAUGGGUUGCUACCUCGCGAGAGGACGCUAAUCCCGCAAACCUGGCCUCAGUUCGGAUGGUAGGCUGCAACUCGCCUGCCUGAAGUCGGAGUUGCUAGUAACCGCAGGUCAGCACACUGCGGUGAAUACGUUCCCGGGUCUUGUACACACCGCCCGUCACACCACGAAAGUGCGUAACACCUGAAGUUGGGUCGGCAACCGCAAGGAGCCGCCUGCCCAGGGUGGGGCGCGUGAUUGGGGUGAAGUCGUAACAAGGUACCAAUCCCGCGG
This 866-nucleotide ribosomal RNA is filed under the name uncultured bacterium. RNAcentral describes it as "bacterial SSU rRNA". It matches the Rfam family "Bacterial small subunit ribosomal RNA", at positions 628 to 1510 of the family's 1533-position model. The record is from RNAcentral.